RNAcentral lists this ribosomal RNA (251 nucleotides) under uncultured prokaryote. RNAcentral's name for it is "partial 16S ribosomal RNA". It matches the Rfam family "Bacterial small subunit ribosomal RNA", at positions 524 to 774 of the family's 1533-position model. The record is from RNAcentral.
UACGGAGGAUGCAAGCGUUAUCCGGAUUUAUUGGGUUUAAAGGGUGCGCAGGUUGUUUGAUAAGUCAGUGGUGAAAGUCUGUCGCUUAACGGUAGGAUUGCCAUUGAUACUGUUGGACUUGAAUAUGGAUGAGGCAGGCGGAAUGUGUAAUGUAGCGGUGAAAUGCUUAGAUAUUACACAGAACACCGAUUGCGAAGGCAGCUUGCUGGGUCAUUACUGACGCUGAUGCACGAAAGCGUGGGGAUCAAACA